Long non-coding RNA from Neopsephotus bourkii (Bourke's parrot), 349 nucleotides. RefSeq lists it as uncharacterized. The transcript is spliced from 3 exons. The record is from RefSeq and is a predicted model, not a curated record. NCBI's taxonomy places the organism in Eukaryota, Metazoa, Chordata, Aves, Psittaciformes, Psittacidae.
AGCUGGUGGCAGCUCUGUGCUGAGAAGUUUCAUCAUUUAUGACACUGGUGUCACAGAUGCCAACUGCAAAAGCUGGCACUCAGCAUCCUUCCACUUCUACAGAGUUCAAAUUAGAACUGUCUUUUUGCCCUCUGUGCAUUUGUCCUGGGGGUCUGCUACUGAGGAAUAAAAAUUCUGUUUCAAUGCUACUAAGCCUGUAUGUGGAAAAGAUUCUUAUUUCAACAAAUGGCUUGUAAUUGGAGGAGGAAGAAGUUGUAACAUUACCUGCCAGAGAGGGUCUGUCUGCUCUGGAAAGAGCUCAAAGUACUUCUGAGCCAGCUGAACGGGGGGCAGUGUCUGCAGGUUCAGG